RNAcentral lists this ribosomal RNA (433 nucleotides) under uncultured bacterium. Its description in RNAcentral is "partial 16S ribosomal RNA". It matches the Rfam family "Bacterial small subunit ribosomal RNA", at positions 29 to 507 of the family's 1533-position model. The record is from RNAcentral.
AACGAACGCUGGCGGCAUGCCUAACACAUGCCAGUCGAACGAAUCCUUCGGGCUUGGUGGCGCACUGGUGCGUAACGCGUUGGAAUCUGCCCCUUGCUUCGGAAGAACAUUUAGAAUUGACUGCUAAUACCGGAUGAAGUCUUCCGACCGAAGAUUUAUCGACAAGGGAUGAGCCCGCGUAGGAUUAGGUAGUUGUUGGGGUAAAGGCCUACCAAGCCGACGAUACUUAGCUGGUCUGAGAGGAUGAUCAGCCACACUGGUACUGGGAAACGGCCCAGACUACUACGGGAGGGAGCAGUGGGGAAUAUUGGAAAACCGAGGGAAGUAUGAAGCAGCAAUGAUGGGUGAGUGAUGAAGGUCUUAGGGUUGUAAAGCUAUUUUACCAGGGAUGAUAAUGACAGUACCUGGAGAAUAAGCACCGGCUAACUUCGUG